GCCCACCAAGGCGAUUACAGGUACGGGCUCUGAGAGGAGAAGCCCGGAGAUGGGUACUGAGACACGGACCCAGGCCCUAUGGGGCGCAGCAGGCGAGAAACCUUAGCAAUGUGCGAAAGCACGACUGGGUCAGUCCGAGUGAUUCCUGAUAAAGGAGUCUUUUGCUUGUCCUAAAAGCACAGGUGAAUAAGGGGUGGGCAAGUCUGGUGUCAGCCGCCGCGGUAAUACCAGCACCUCGAGUGGUCAGGACGUUUAUUGGGCCUAAAGCAUCCGUAGCCGGCUCUGCAAGUCUUCGGUCAAAUCCACCUGCUCAACAGAUGGGCUGCUGGAGAUACUACAGAGCUAGGGAGCGGGAGAGGCAGACGGUAUUCAGUGGGUAGGGGUAAAAUCCUCUGAUCCAUUGAGGACCACCAGUGGCGAAGGCGGUCUGCCAGAACACGUUCGACGGUGAGGGAUGAAAGCUGGGGGAGCAAACCGGAUUAGAUACCCGGGUAGUCCCAGCUGUAAACGAUGCAAACUCGGUGAUGCAUUGGCUUUGGCCAAUACAGUGCCGCAGGGAAGCCGUUAAGUUUGCCGCCUGGGAAGUACGGACGCAAGUCUGAAGCUUAA
This 609-nucleotide ribosomal RNA is filed under the name crenarchaeote enrichment culture clone B13-A-111. Its description in RNAcentral is "bacterial SSU rRNA". It matches the Rfam family "Archaeal small subunit ribosomal RNA", at positions 247 to 859 of the family's 1478-position model. Lineage: Archaea; Thermoproteati; Thermoproteota. The record is from RNAcentral.